RNAcentral lists this transfer RNA (71 nucleotides) under Trugon terrestris. Its description in RNAcentral is "tRNA-Lys". The record is from RNAcentral. Lineage: Eukaryota; Metazoa; Chordata; Aves; Columbiformes; Columbidae.
CGUUAAGAAGCUAUACAUCAGCGCUAGCCUUUUAAGCUAGAGAGAGAGGGCUACUCAUCCCUCCUUAAUGA